This 707-nucleotide long non-coding RNA is filed under the name Triticum aestivum (bread wheat). RNAcentral's name for it is "long non-coding RNA (TAES_LNC002455)". The record is from RNAcentral. Lineage: Eukaryota; Viridiplantae; Streptophyta; Magnoliopsida; Poales; Poaceae.
UAGCAAAUCCAAUUAUUACUACUUCACAAAUCCAGUUACCUUUAAAUGGGUCUGACAUUCUUGCUCGUUAUUUGAACCAGUCACUUGGUGUGCAGCUACAGAAUGCUCAUUCACAGAUUUCUCGAGAGAGCAGAACCAAUCUAUUAGGAGGUAAAAAAAACCACACUCAGCAAGGAAAGUAUGUCAAUUGUUGCACGGAAUUUGCUUCGCUUGAGUUUAUACAGAGGUAGCCCUUGAGCGGUUAAUUCCGGUUCACAGCCAAGUGUGCAGCUCGUCGAUUAUGAGGUUGCAGGUUCCGAUGUAGUCGUUUGCCUUGCCAUUGUAAACCCUACUGUUUCUCUCCUUCCAAAUCUGCCACCAAAUGAGCAUGUAAAAGGCCGAGAAAUCUUUACGGUGAUACACAGUGAUGUUAUCAAGAAUAUGUAGCCAUCACUGUAGCAGGAGGGAAUGAAUAUGUGCCAUAGCUUGGCCGUAGGUAAUUGAAUUUCAUCAGAAAAAAAAUCCCCAAACAGCAGCAAGGAAACGGAAGGUUGCAAGUAAGUGUACCGUAGACUCAAACCGCAUAAUCCUGUUUGCUGAUGGAUUUGGUAAUUUUUUGGCGCACAAUGGAUCAACCACCACUGCUAAAUAUGCCUCUUCUUGGCCAACAUCUCGUUCAUCUCGGCCAGCAUCAGCCUUCGGCGUGCCAUCCCUGACCACCACAGCCU